GCACAAGUGUGUCUGGGCACAAGACUUGACACCCUCACAGCUGAAGAGAAGACAUCCCGGCAACUGCAGAGGGGCCAUGGAGAGGAAGCUGGGAGCUGUGCUGGGGAUUCUGUGGGUGCAGAUUUGCUGGGUGAGAGGAGUUGAGGUGGAACAGAGUCCUUCAGACCUGAGUCUCCAUGAGGGAACCAGUACUACGUUCACAUGCAAUUUUUCUACAACCAUGACAUAUGUGAGGUGGUUCCAGCAGAACCCCAGGGGCAGCCUCAUCAGUCUUUUUAACAUGGCUCCAGGAAAAAAGGAGAAUGGGAGGUUAACUGCAACAUUCAAUUCUAAUGAGCGCUUCAGCACCCUGCACAUCAGGGAGGCCCAGCUGGAGGACUCAGGAACCUACCUCUGUGCUGCAGAGGCACAGUGCUCCCAGCAAGCCUGCAGCCUGGCCCCAAACUGCAGCUGUGCAGGAGGUUUUUGCACAGCUGUGGCUCUAACAGAUCUCCAGCAAUUACAAGAAAGAAGCGAGAAAACAGAAAAUACUUCUACAGUAGUUCAAGCUUAAAUUUGGACAGAUGUCAUAAUGACUUGAAGAAAGAUAAAAGCUCAGAAACAUCAGCCACAUGACUAAAAUCUAUACUUUAUUUUAUCAAAGGCUCAUGCUAAUGUCAUAAAAUAUAAACCCUCUUACA
This is a non-coding RNA of Mesocricetus auratus (golden hamster), 680 nucleotides long. The record is from the annotation of a RefSeq genome assembly. Lineage: Eukaryota; Metazoa; Chordata; Mammalia; Rodentia; Cricetidae.